ACCACUUAGUUCCCUGCUUAGCAAGAACAAUGCAUAAGGAGGAGUGAUAAGGAGGAGACUCCACCCAAAGUGGGGUAUGAAUACCACCACAGGGGAAGCCAUGUCUUUGACUGAAUACAGCUGUAUCGACCCUUUGGGAAGAAUUCAACUUGUCCGUAAUGGGAUGACCUAGAGUGUAUAUCCACCCAACUAUGAUCAGACCUACGGGAGCAAAACAUACUGCGACAAAACUGUUUACAUUCUCUACCUCUAUCAUGUUGGACAUUGUAAGUGCAGUGACACUCUCCGCAUGGAUUAUCAAGUUCUUUCAGCAAUUUGAUCUCUGUGGUUGAUAGUUUCAGUGUUGCUUUCUGUGAGUGCUGCUGCUGCGAGUGCUGCUGAAGAUGUUAUGGGAGGUGUGUGCUGUAAACACUCCAAACUAUGGGAAUGCUGUGGCGGUGAGGGGACGUUAGUACCUUGGCAGGCUGUGAGGAAUGUAUGGCAACAUAAAUGUCAUACAAGCUGACAAUGUUUACGGGCUGCCUGGACAGGAGUGAUCUUGACUAAAGGAUUUUUGACUUGCCUUAUUGCUGAACCAUCCAGUCUAUUUGUCAUAUACUGUAAAUCAACACAUUGGUAUGCUAAUAAAAUCAAACAACAUCUUCCC
Oncorhynchus nerka (sockeye salmon) is the source of this 646-nucleotide long non-coding RNA. RefSeq lists it as uncharacterized. The transcript has 2 exons. NCBI's taxonomy places the organism in Eukaryota, Metazoa, Chordata, Actinopteri, Salmoniformes, Salmonidae. The record is from RefSeq and is a predicted model, not a curated record.